This is a long non-coding RNA of Cucurbita moschata (crookneck pumpkin), 104 nucleotides long. RefSeq lists it as uncharacterized. The transcript is spliced from 3 exons. The record is from RefSeq and is a predicted model, not a curated record. Lineage: Eukaryota; Viridiplantae; Streptophyta; Magnoliopsida; Cucurbitales; Cucurbitaceae.
UAAGAGUGUGGAAACCUCUAUCUCGCAGACAUGUUUUAAUAACAUUGAGGGAAAACUCGAAAGGGAAAGCCCAAAGAGAACAAUUUCUGCUAGAGGUGGACUUG